RNAcentral lists this ribosomal RNA (253 nucleotides) under uncultured bacterium. RNAcentral describes it as "partial 16S ribosomal RNA". It matches the Rfam family "Bacterial small subunit ribosomal RNA", at positions 524 to 776 of the family's 1533-position model. The record is from RNAcentral.
GACGUAGGGCGCGAGCGUUGUCCGGAUUUAUUGGGCGUAAAGAGCUCGUAGGCGGCUUGUCGCGUCGAAUGUGAAAUUUUAGGGCUCAACCCUGACAUUGCAUUCGAUACGGGCAGGCUUGAGUUCGGUAGGGGAGACUGGAAUUCCUGGUGUAGCGGUGAAAUGCGCAGAUAUCAGGAGGAACACCGGUGGCGAAGGCGGGUCUCUGGGCAGUAACUGACGCUGAGGAGCGAAAGCGUGGGGAGCGAACAGG